GUGCAACGCUUGGCACACGCACGGCAGGACUUGAAGCACGACUCGCGCAUCCAGGUCAUCCUUCGGGCUCACCCAGGAGGCUACAGCAUCGCAGAAGAAAAUAAAGUCCUGAAACAUGACGGAUCCCAUGUGAGGGGCCGCCCAAGCCAGCCCCCGCCCUGCCCUCUGAGCCCCGCUGCCCGGACCUGCACAACACCCCCAGGAUUGACACCAAUCAUCAUGCAGAUGCCUCGGAAGGCAGAAUCCUUCUCCUCGUUGUCCCGGAUGUUCCUAAGGGACGUGCACCUGGCCAUGGAGGAGGGCAGCAGGUCCCACCCAGGCAGGCACACACCAAGGCCGGAUGAACUGCUGCAGCAUGGGUGCCACCUCCUGCGGGCACACGUAGCCCAGGCGGCCGAUGGUGAUGGCUGGAAUGGCAGAGGGACUCGUCAGGCGACCUGCAACCCCGAGUGGCCCCGGGACGGUCUUAGAAGCCUUCCUUCCGGGAACGGCCCCCUCAGCCCCGGCCUGGUACUCACCUGUGUUUUCCAGCAGCGUCUUGGGUGUGUUGGGCCUGUUAAUGAUCUCCACCAGGUUGUUGAGGACCAUCUGCACAUAAGGCUGCAUCUCUGCCCCUAGGGAGCAGCCAUUCAGAGCCCUGCAUGGCCCACUCCACCCACAGAGUGCCAGCUGGGCAUAGCUGACCUCACGCCAUGAUCCCAGUUACAUGCGGACUGGCAUACCACCACACCCGAGAGAACAAAGACCCUUCUCGGGAUGCUCCCCACCAAGUCCGCAGCCAACACACAACAGAACCACCCAAAGGAGUCUCUGAAGUCAUUACCCAGAAGGUAACAUGACCACUCCACCCAGUCUUCCCCAAGGACAGGAAGUCAAAGUCACUGAUCCCAGUGGACCUUUCAGAAAAACAAUUACACGAGAUGGUCCGGUCAGUAGGAACAAACUGUCUACCCCACGUCAUAAAUGGCCCUUCAGUUAUUUGACUUCACUUGUCAGGGGGAUCAAAGUAUGUUCUUUCCCCUGACCAAUAGGAUGGAGACAGAGCAAUGAAGAGGCAGGCAGUCUGCCACUCUCGAGGCACUCACCCAUCUGCAUGCAGAUCUCCCCAAUGGCCCAGGUAGCAUUGUUGCAGACAGAGAUGAACUCAGGGUUCAGGUUGGUACCCAGAAUAGGCAUGAACUCAGCUAAUGCAAAGAGCAGAGCAGGGAGGGGAGAAAAAAACCCCAACUGAGCAGAAAGGCCACUGAGGCCCGCCAAGCUCCCAGAACUGACUGGGCAGCCCCAUCAGACAGUACGAAUACAUCCCAGUCCGGUCAUGGGCCUCCCAGGGUAUGUCUCCAUCACUUAAGGCCAAUGUUGAGGUCAUGGGACGGGGGCAAACAGGGUAGCUUACCGAUACAGGGCUUGACGUGGAUAAAGCAGGCUUUGGUAAGGUCUCCCAGAAGGGCAAAGGAGCUCUGCCGGACCUCAGGCAUGGAAUCCUGGAGUUGGGAAAGAUGGCGGAAAUGGCAGGGCUGCUCCUACUCCUUCCAUCUAAGCCAUUGGAGGUGGCACAGUCCCCCUCGAGCACACCCUGACCACAAAUACUGAGGUACAGGUCUGUCCACCAUGUCCACCACACAGACCUUACUUCACUAGCCUUCUACUAUACUACAGCCUGUUUCCCAGGACACGGGGUUGGAGUUCAUUGGUAAGCAUUUACUUUGAAAACUCUCUAGAACCCCAUUUUACCCCUACCUAUCCCGCCUCCCAAAACCGCAAAAAAUAAAUUGUAUUACAUACACUCUUAAUUUCUCUUUGAGCCAGGUCUUGCUACAUAGACCUGGCUGACCUAGACACUACCUUGUUCCUGCUAAGACCCCAUCAUGCCCCACUGUGUGGCGCUCGCUUGUAUGCAUCCUCAGCUGCCACCUCAUCUUAUUUCUGAGGAAGUUUCUUUCUGAACCUGAGCUCACUAGAACUCAACUAGACAAGCUGGCCAGAGAACCAACCCCAGGAAUCCACCUGCCUCUGCUUCCCCAGUGCUCUGAAUCACGGGCACCUCUAUGCAGAUGCACCCUUUUAUUUCCAUCUUUAAUGGCGUGUGUAUGUUGGGUGAGAGGGUGUACACAUUUAUAGGUAUCCUUGGAAACUAGAAGAGGGAGUCAGGUCCCCUGAGAAGCUAAAACAACAGGCAGUUGUCAUUAUUAGUGGCCUGAUGUUGAUGCUGGAGCCAAACUUAGGUUCUCUGGAAGAACAGUAAGUGCCCUUAACCUAAGCCACCUCUUUAACACCUACCCCCAGCUUUUCACGGGGGGGGGGGGGGGGAUCAAGCUCAGGCUCCUGUCCUUGUCUAACAGGCACUUACUGAGCCAUCUCCCCAUUACCUAUAUUUUGUUUUGUUGUUGUUUGAGGCAGGGUCUCACUACAUAGCCUUGUUUAGCCUGGAACUCAGAAAUCUACCUGCCUGUGCCUCCAAAUCUAAAGCACUUGGAUUAAAGGCUAUGCCACCACAAA
RNAcentral lists this long non-coding RNA (2496 nucleotides) under Mus musculus (house mouse). RNAcentral's name for it is "RIKEN cDNA A230103J11 gene". Lineage: Eukaryota; Metazoa; Chordata; Mammalia; Rodentia; Muridae. The record is from RNAcentral.